CUGUACCGUGCCCCCGCCCGCGAUUCACGCCGCGCGCGCGUCUUCCUCCCGCCCGCGAAUCACGCCCCGCGCGCGUCGCCCUCACCGCCGGGUAUCCCGCCCGCGCCAGGCACCCGCCCCCCUCCCCCGGCACGCCGUGAUGCCCGUCGUCGGGUAUCCCGCCCGCGCAAGCCACCCCACAACGCCCGUGCCCCCGCCCGCGAUGCGAGCCGCGCGCGCGUCUUCCUCCCGCCCGCGAUGCACGCCCCGCGCGCGUCGCCCUCGCCGCCAGAGGAGAUUCCGAAGGUCUUGGAAAUCAGCGGCGAGCGCAGCCUCAUCGACAACAUCUUCUCCUACCACGUAUCAAUGGCACCAUCUACACUUAACCAACAUAGGUCGGUUGCAGCCCUACAUCACGUCCCUACAGAGUUUCCUUUCGUGUUAUUUGAUGACGUUGAGAGCAAUGACUUACCAAAAUUUAAGAGUAUCGUAGCCAGAAUCGUUGUUAAGUUCCCUAGACGUCAUGACAGCCAACAUUUUAUUCUACAAGACAUCACUGGGUCAAAAAUAGAAGCAAUUUUAUACCGCGAUAAUGUACAAAGAUUUGACACCUUACUCCAACAAGGAUCUACAUAUACAUUAUAUGGAGUGGCAUUCUGUUUCCCGCCGUAUCCAAAACAUCUUAUGCCAUUUCAUGAGGUCCUCCAACAACCUCAUAAGAGGUUUAUAGAUGUAAUAGGAAUAGUCAUUCAUUUGGCGCCGUUAGAGCACAUCGUUGGAAGGUCGUACAGAGAGGCCAUACUAAUGGAUUCCAGGUGGGAUAUAAUCGUCGUGGGUAUAUGGCCUGAACUGUUGCAAAGAAAUGCUCUACGAUCAUCACACCAUACAACGGUUGCAGAUAAUUCGGCGCUCCAUGAUCCAAAAUCCGAGGAGUGCUUUAAUCAACAAUUAUCUAGAGAGGAGACGGGCUUAUCUGGCAACAGUGGUUCUGGAUGUGUAGUGUGA
Molecule: unclassified non-coding RNA, 984 nt
Filed under: Zea mays
Lineage: Eukaryota; Viridiplantae; Streptophyta; Magnoliopsida; Poales; Poaceae
Description: misc RNA Zm00001eb128440
Source: RNAcentral